UGUGGGAUAUUCACAAUGGGCGAAAGCCUGAUGCAGCGACGCCGCGUGGGGGAUGAAGGCCUUCGGGUUGUAAACUUCUUUUGCUCUGAACAAGGCGCACCAUGGGGUGUGUUGAGUGUAGGGGUUGAUUAGCGCCGGCUAACUACGUGCCAGCAGCCGCGGUAAUACGUAGGGCGCGAGCGUUGUCCGGAAUUAUUGGGCGUAAAGGGCUUGUAGGUGGCUGGUUGCGUCUGUCGUGAAAGCUCAUGGCUUAACUGUGGGUUUGCGGUGGGUACGGGCUGGCUUGAGUGCAGUAGGGGAGGCUGGAAUUCCUGGUGUAGCGGUGGAAUGCGCAGAUAUCAGGAGGAAUACCGGUGGCGAAGGCGGGUCUCUGGGCUGUUACUGACACUGAGGAGCGAAAGCAUGGGGAGCGAACAGG
Molecule: ribosomal RNA, 418 nt
Filed under: bacterium
Lineage: Bacteria
Description: partial 16S ribosomal RNA
Rfam family: Bacterial small subunit ribosomal RNA
Source: RNAcentral